GUGUGAACAUCCCUCUUCCAUUUGAAGGCUUAGUGGUGCAAGUGGUUUUCUGUUUGGACUUUGAAGGAAAAGAGGGGACUAAUUCAGCAGAUGGGGACUGGAAGAUUUUUCUUUCAUGUUUCAAAUACAAUAUGAAGUGAACUAUGAAGUUAAGCAGCCACAAUUCUUUGCAAAGAUAAGACAGAGAAUCAAAUAUUUUAAGCAUGACAAUAGAAGGAAGUGCUAAGUGUAUGCAUGAGAAUGGCUCUCCAAAGGAUAAACAUUACAUCAGGGAAACAUUAUAGGAAGAACAUUUUAUAUGGAUCUCACAGCACUGAAAUUAUGAAUGUUUCCCACUAGAAAUUAUGUUGGAAAGGUUAUGUUUUACAAAGAUUUAAUUCAAACAUAAGGAAAUUAAAAUAAUGUAACCUGAAGAAAUGUUUGUAAUAUUUAUUUGAUAUUUUCCACAGGAAAUGAAGACUCAGUAAUAAUUAAAUACAAACAACAUCUACUGAAACAGGCUUAUGAAUGGUUGUGUGGAAAAACAAAUUCAGAAUUGGAAACUUCCUGCUCUCAGUUCUAUUUUUGAGAAUAAUAAUAGAAUAAAAGCAUAACAUGAGAC
Molecule: long non-coding RNA, 601 nt
Filed under: Homo sapiens (human)
Lineage: Eukaryota; Metazoa; Chordata; Mammalia; Primates; Hominidae
Description: HSALNT0188014
Source: RNAcentral